Molecule: ribosomal RNA, 1029 nt
Filed under: Trupanea amoena
Lineage: Eukaryota; Metazoa; Arthropoda; Insecta; Diptera; Tephritidae
Description: partial 16S ribosomal RNA
Source: RNAcentral
UUGAAAAAUUUUUAUUUUAAAAGAAAAAUUAAUUAUUUGUACCUUGUGUAUCAGGGUUUAUUAAAUAAUUAAUAAAUAUUAUUAUUAAUUUCGAUUUUAUAAGAGUUAAUAAUUUAUUAAAGUUAAUGUAUCAAAAUUAUUUUUUAUAAAUUAUUAGAAAUGAAAUGUUAUUCGUUUAUAAAGAUAUCUAGUUUUUUUAGAAAUAAAUUUAAUUUAAAAAUUUUUAAUUUUAUUAAUUAAUUUAUUAAUUAAUAAAUUUAUUAAUUUUAAUAUUUUAAGGGAUAAGCUUUAAAAUAAAUUUUUAAAAAUUAAUUAAAUAAUAAUUAAAAUUAUAUGCAUAAAAUUAGUAAUUAUUAAAAAUUUUGUUAUAAAUUAUUUUAUUAAAUAUAUUAUUUAUUAAAAUUUUAAUUUUUUUAUGAAAAUAUUUUUUUUAGUUUAAUUUGAAAAGUAAUAAUGAUAAAAUUAGUAUAUAUAUAUAUAUAUAAAUAAUUUGUUUUGAUAGGUUUAUUUAAAGAACUCGGCAAAUAUUUUACUCGCCUGUUUAACAAAAACAUGUCUUUUUGUGUUAUUUUUAAAGUCUAACCUGCCCAAUGAAUAAAUUUUAAUGGCCGCAGUAUUUUGACUGUGCAAAGGUAGCAUAAUCAAUAGUCUUUUAAUUGAAGGCUUGAAUGAAUGGUUGGACGAAGUAUAAUCUGUUUCAUUUAAAUUUAUUAUAGAAUUUUAUAUUUUAGUAAAAAAGCUAAAAUAUUUUUAAAAGACGAGAAGACCCUAUAAAUCUUUAUAGUUUAUAUUAUUUUUAUUUUUUAGAUUUAUUUUAUUUAAAUAAUUUAAAUUAUUUUGUUGGGGUGAUAUUAAAAUUUAAUAAACUUUUAAUUUAAUUUAUUUCAUUAAUUUAUGUUUUAUUGAUCCAUUAAUAAUGAUUAAAAGAAUAAGUUACUUUAGGGAUAACAGCGUAAUUUUUUUGGAGAGUUCUUAUUGAUAAAAAAGUUUGCGACCUCGAUGUUGGAUUAAGAAAUAAUUUUAGGUGUA